ACUAGGUGUGGGGGGUCUGACCCCCUCCGUGCCGGAGUUAACACAAUAAGUAAUCCACCUGGGAAGUACGACCGCAAGGUUGAAACUCAAAGGAAUUGACGGGGGCCCGCACAAGCAGUGGAGUAUGUGGUUUAAUUCGAAGCAACGCGAAGAACCUUACCAGGUCUUGACAUCCAACUAAUCCUGUAGAGAUAUGGGAGUGCCCUUCGGGGAAAGUUGAGGCAGGUGGUGCAUGGUUGUCGUCAGCUCGUGUCGUGAGAUGUUGGGUUAAGUCCCGCAACGAGCGCAACCCUUGUGAUUAGUUGCUACGCAAGAGCACUCUAAUCAGACUGCCGUUGACAAAACGGAGGAAGGUGGGGACGAUGUCAAAUCAUCAUGCCUCUUAUGAUCUGGGCUACACACGUACUACAAUGGCCAUCAACAGAGGGAAGCAAAACCGCGAGGCAGAGCAAACCCCUAAAAAUGGUCUCAGUUCGGAUCGCAGGCUGAAACCCGCCUGCGUGAAGCUGGAAUUGCUAGUAAUCGCGGAUCAUCAUGCCGCGGUGAAUACGUUCCCGGGCCUUGUACACACCGCCCGUCACACCAUGGGAGCCGGUAAUACCCGAAGUCGGUAGUCUAACCGCAAGGAGGACGCCGCCGAAGGUAGGAUUGGCGACUGGGGUGAAGUCGUAACAAGGUAGCCGUAUCGGAAGGUGCGGCUGGAUCACCUCCU
Molecule: ribosomal RNA, 712 nt
Filed under: uncultured bacterium
Lineage: Bacteria
Description: bacterial SSU rRNA
Rfam family: Bacterial small subunit ribosomal RNA
Source: RNAcentral